CGUGACGCAGCAACGCCGCGUGGGGGAGAAGGCCUUCGGGUUGUAAACCCCUUUCAGUUGGGACGAAGCUUCGCCGGUUAAUAGCCGGCUGGAGUGACGGUACCUUCACAAGAAGCCCCGGCUAACUACGUGCCAGCAGCCGCGGUAAUACGUAGGGGGCUAGCGUUGUCCGGAAUCAUUGGGCGUAAAGCGCGUGUAGGCGGUCCGGUAAGUCCGCUGUGAAAGUCGGGGGCUCAACCCUCGAAUGCCGGUGGAUACUGUCGGGCUUGAGUACGGAAGAGGCGAGUGGAAUUCCUGGUGUAGCGGUGAAAUGCGCAGAUAUCAGGAGGAACACCAAUUGCGAAGGCAGCUCGCUGGGACGUUACUGACGCUGAGACGCGAAAGCGUGGGGAGCAAACAGGAUUAGAUACCCUGGUAGUCCACGCUGUAAACGAUGGGCACUAGGUGUGGGGGGUGUCGACUCCCUCCGUGCCGAAGCUAACGCAUUAAGUGCCCCGCCUGGGGAGUACGGCCGCAAGGCUA
This 522-nucleotide ribosomal RNA is filed under the name uncultured Actinomycetes bacterium. RNAcentral describes it as "bacterial SSU rRNA". It matches the Rfam family "Bacterial small subunit ribosomal RNA", at positions 382 to 896 of the family's 1533-position model. Lineage: Bacteria; Bacillati; Actinomycetota; Actinomycetes. The record is from RNAcentral.